AGUGAACGCUGGCGGUAGGCCUAACACAUGCAAGUCGAACGGCAGCACAGUAAGAGCUUGCUCUUACGGGUGGCGAGUGGCGUACGGGUGAGGAAUACAUCGGAAUCUACUUUUUCGUGGGGGAUAACGUAGGGAAACUUACGCUAAUACCGCAUACGACCUACGGGUGAAAGCAUGGGAUCUUCGGACCUUGCGCGAUUGAAUGAGCCGAUGUCGGAUUAGCUAGUUGGCGGGGUAAAGGCCCACCAAGGCGACGAUCCGUAGCUGGUCUGAGAGGAUGAUCAGCCACACUGGAACUGAGACACGGUCCAGACUCCUACGGGAGGCAGCAGUGGGGAAUAUUGGACAAUGGGCGCAAGCAUGAUCCAGCCAUACCGCGUGGGUGAAGAAGGCCUUCGGGUUGUAAAGCCCUUUUGUUGGGAAAGAAAAGCAGCAGGUUAAUACCCCGCUGUUCUGACGGUACCCAAAGAAUAAGCACCGGCUAACUUCGUG
RNAcentral lists this ribosomal RNA (492 nucleotides) under uncultured bacterium. RNAcentral describes it as "partial 16S ribosomal RNA". It matches the Rfam family "Bacterial small subunit ribosomal RNA", at positions 29 to 507 of the family's 1533-position model. The record is from RNAcentral.